ACGGAGGGGGCUAGCGUUGUUCGGAAUUACUGGGCGUAAAGCGUGCGCAGGCGGUUGUGUAAGCCAGAUGUGAAAUCCCCGGGCUUAACCUGGGAAUGGCAUUUGGGACUGCACGGCUAGAGUACGGCAGAGGGGACUAGAAUUCCUGGUGUAGCAGUGAAAUGCGUAGAUAUCGGGAGGAAUACCGAUGGCGAAGGCAGGUCCCUGGGUCGAUACUGACGCUCAUGCACGAAAGCGUGGGGAGCAAACAGGA
RNAcentral lists this ribosomal RNA (253 nucleotides) under uncultured prokaryote. Its description in RNAcentral is "partial 16S ribosomal RNA". It matches the Rfam family "Bacterial small subunit ribosomal RNA", at positions 525 to 777 of the family's 1533-position model. The record is from RNAcentral.